UCCUACGGGGGGCAGCAGUGAGGAAUAUUGGUCAAUGGUCGGGAGACUGAACCAGCCAAGCCGCGUGAGGGAUGAAGGUACAGAGUAUCGUAAACCUCCUUUGUCAGGGAACAAAGGCGGGGACGUGUCCCCGGAUGAGUGUACCUGAAGAAAAAGCAUCGGCUAACUCCGUGCCAGCAGCCGCGGUAAUACGGAGGAUGCGAGCGUUAUCCGGAUUUAUUGGGUUUAAAGGGUGCGCAGGCGGUCUGUUAAGUCAGCGGGCAAAGCCCGGGGCUCAACCCCGGCCCGCCGUUGAAACUGGCAGG
RNAcentral lists this ribosomal RNA (305 nucleotides) under uncultured bacterium. RNAcentral describes it as "bacterial SSU rRNA". It matches the Rfam family "Bacterial small subunit ribosomal RNA", at positions 337 to 640 of the family's 1533-position model. The record is from RNAcentral.